This 375-nucleotide ribosomal RNA is filed under the name uncultured organism. Its description in RNAcentral is "partial 16S ribosomal RNA". It matches the Rfam family "Bacterial small subunit ribosomal RNA", at positions 527 to 896 of the family's 1533-position model. The record is from RNAcentral.
GUAGGUGGCAAGCGUUGUCCGGAAUUAUUGGGCGUAAAGCGCGCGCAGGCGGUCCUUUAAGUCUGAUGUGAAAGCCCACGGCUCAACCGUGGAGGGUCAUUGGAAACUGGGGGACUUGAGUACGGAAGAGGAAAGCGGAAUUCCAAGUGUAGCGGUGAAAUGCGUAGAGAUUUGGAGGAACACCAGUGGCGAAGGCGGCUUUCUGGUCUGUAACUGACGCUGAGGCGCGAAAGCGUGGGGAGCAAACAGGAUUAGAUACCCUGGUAGUCCACGCCGUAAACGAUGAGUGCUAAGUGUUAGGGGGUUUCCCGCCCCCUUAGUGCUGCAGCUAACGCAUUAAGCACUCCGCCUGGGGGAGUACGGCCCGCAAGGCUG